GAUGAACGCUAGCUACAGGCUUAACACAUGCAAGUCGAGGGGAAACGACAUCGAAAGCUUGCUUUUGAUGGGCGUCGACCGGCGCACGGGUGAGUAACGCGUAUCCAACCUGCCCAUCACUUGGGAAUAACCUUGCGAAAGUAAGACUAAUACCCAAUGAUAUCCCACGAAGGCAUCGGAAUGGGAUUAAAGAUUUAUCGGUGAUGGAUGGGGAUGCGUCUGAUUAGCUUGUUGGCGGGGUAACGGCCCACCAAGGCAACGAUCAGUAGGGGUUCUGAGAGGAAGGUCCCCCACAUUGGAACUGAGACACGGGCCAAACUCCUACGGGAGGCAGCAGUGAGGAAUAUUGGUCAAUGGGCGAGAGCCUGAACCAGCCAAGUAGCGUGCAGGAUGACGGCCCUAUGGGUUGUAAACUGCUUUUAUAAGGGAAUAAAGUGGGUCUCGUGAGACUUUUUGCAUGUACCUUAUGAAUAAGGACCGGCUAAUUCCGUG
RNAcentral lists this ribosomal RNA (492 nucleotides) under uncultured bacterium. RNAcentral's name for it is "partial 16S ribosomal RNA". It matches the Rfam family "Bacterial small subunit ribosomal RNA", at positions 28 to 507 of the family's 1533-position model. The record is from RNAcentral.